AGCUUUAUAUUUACAGUUGUAAUAUUAGAUUGCAAAUCUAAAGGGGUAUAAUUAUACUAAGGCUU
This 65-nucleotide transfer RNA is filed under the name Rhopalopsole bulbifera. RNAcentral describes it as "tRNA-Cys". The record is from RNAcentral. Lineage: Eukaryota; Metazoa; Arthropoda; Insecta; Plecoptera; Leuctridae.